AAGAGACCAAGAGGGUUGAAAGCUAUGGGCAAUAUGGACUCUGACUCUGAGUGAAGGCAAAACCUCUGGCAAGAAAGCGUCUUUUAGGAUAAUUUCAUUACAGAAGAUGAAGACUACAAGUCGAUGUAGAAAGCGGUUUAUUUUUGACAAAAGAGGAUGUGAGAAAAUGUGGGUUAGCGUGUAAAUUAUUCCUUUCACUUUCACCAGCAGCUAUAAGAAUGGAAGGAUGAAUUUUCAACCAUUAUAGAUUUGUGUAUGCUCAAGCCUCUAAUUUCUACUUGCAUCCAUUCCUCUGCAUAGCUAAUCUAAAAAGAUCACUGGAUCAUUUAUCCUCGGGGAAUUUUAUUAUUGCAAAGGAAAAGGGGAGUGGAUAUUUUGUAGGCAAACAUCUUCCUCUAGAUUGGUAUAUGGUUCUAAUGAAAUUGGC
This 427-nucleotide unclassified non-coding RNA is filed under the name Hevea brasiliensis (rubber tree). The record is from RNAcentral. Lineage: Eukaryota; Viridiplantae; Streptophyta; Magnoliopsida; Malpighiales; Euphorbiaceae.